UUUAACCAUUGAAAUACAAAGAAAUUUUAAAGUACAAUCACUCCAGUCUUUCCCCCAUCCAACUUUUGUUUGUUUAUUGUCUUCAUUCCUCAGCAUUUGCUUCAAAACGUGUUGACGAUUGUUUGGCGAAUGUGGAAAAGCGUCAGGCCUCACCUUCAUUAUUGGCCAGCAUCAGAUGAAUGUGUGUACGAAUGUGCGUCCCAGGCCUCCAGUGUGACAGACGGGGGGUGUGCUGUGACGGAAAGACCCUCGCUAACACUUGCCUGACAGACAAUAAAACACAGAAAGCUCGUCCUGCAGAUAAUUUGACACCCCCUGCCCCCAAUUCUGGACAAAAAAGGGUCCUGUGAGAGAGGAGUGUACAGCCAAGCACAUGGCAGGACAGGCGCUGGUGUCCUGGGCUGGGGCCGUAUGGAAGGUCAGGGGGGUUGGCGAGGAGCGCCAGCCAGGACUCUGAAGGAAACAGUGGGAGAAUGAGGCGGCUUGAGCCCGCUGGUCACCAGCCAACAGCCCAGCCUCGAGUGUACGCUUUCCUCCGCGAAACACUCCACAGUGGUGGAGGGGGAAGGUAUGCAGAACCACACAAUGUAGAUAUUUUGGUUGUUGACAAUGCUGACUUUGGUGGUUUUAACACUUAGUUGUUGUUUUUUUAUGGUGAUUAUAACCAUAUGACCAUCCAAUACUGUUCAUAAGAGACAGUUCAUUUAUAAAAUUAGUUCAUCCAAAAAAAUAAAAGUUCUGUUUAUAAAUACUCACCCUCAUGUCAUUUGAUUAUGAUCAUAGAACUUUGAUCAUCUUCAGAUCACAAUUAAGAUCUUAUAGAGUAGAUCUAAGAGCUCUCUC
Molecule: non-coding RNA, 843 nt
Organism: Danio rerio (zebrafish)
Lineage: Eukaryota; Metazoa; Chordata; Actinopteri; Cypriniformes; Danionidae
Source: RefSeq, a predicted model, not a curated record